This 70-nucleotide transfer RNA is filed under the name Hyphessobrycon amapaensis. RNAcentral describes it as "tRNA-Tyr". It matches the Rfam family "tRNA". Rfam says of the family: Transfer RNA (tRNA) molecules are approximately 80 nucleotides in length. Their secondary structure includes four short double-helical elements and three loops (D, anti-codon, and T loops). The record is from RNAcentral. Lineage: Eukaryota; Metazoa; Chordata; Actinopteri; Characiformes; Acestrorhamphidae.
GGUAGGAUGGCCGAGGGCAUAGGCGGCGGAUUGUAGCUUCGCUAACAAAGGUUUAAGUCCUUUUCUUAUC